GAACAUUUUUAGAUUAGAAGUACUGCUGCAUUUGAACAUUUAAACUAUUUUAGACUACAUAUGCCGCUAUUUUAACGUGAGGGUUUAAAAAAAUUAGAUCAAAUAUAUGCAGGUAGCAUUGGAUGAUCGGCUCCCGCAUCCGUGUCCACGGACUGGUGCCCUACUUGUGAAGGAAUGCAGGGCGAAAUUCUCUACCAAAAAGGCUUUCGUCCCGCUUUAUAUAUAAAGCAACAUCCAACAUACAACCCAGCCGUACAACUCGACACCACAACCCAAGCACAUGAGGCAAAAUACAAAGGGUGAUGCAAACACGACGAGCAAUAAGCUCCGAAGCGGUGCCUUUAGGAAGUGCACGGCACCGGAGCAUCGCCACGCUCGAUCGAAGAAUCAGGGUUUCCCACGAAGCACACCGAGAAUGCGCCCCCGCCGCCGACCUGACCACAGUCAGAUCGGGUUCUCACCCCGACAAGAGCUCCUUGUCUCUGAUACGAAGUAGGCCAGUCACGAGGACCAGUGCCGUACCACCGCCACUACACGCCGUAGUUCCCUUACAAUUACAAGUACGUGUGGCUGACCGUCGAGCAUCCAUACAUACGACUCUCGAGUACUCCCUCCGUCCGUGUCAAAAACGCCCUUAUACUAUGGGAUGGAGGGAGUACUAACUUUACGGCUAACUGUCGAGCAUCCGUACGUGCAAUUGAGCAUGUCCAUGAGAACUGAGAAGCGGCACUCAAAGAAGUCUCAACAGCUACGAACGCGGCACAGAUUAUUUUAGUUGUUCUUGUCUCUGAAACAAGGAUAACCUGAAAUCAGUGGGAAGGUAUCGAUGAGGUACGUACUAGCUACCUUCUUUGCCUUCAGCUGCAAGACACUAGCACCAAUGGAGAAGCAUGACUUGAGCAGAUGAUUAUUCUAUCUAACCCAGUGCCGGGCAGCUGAGGAGUGGUCGUCACGACUGGGGUCCGUCCACACCGACUCCCGCCGACGUGCGAUCACCGGAGCCGCCCGACCGACCCCCAUUUAUCGUACACCGAUGGGUUUAUAAAGCGAUCGACCGAAAGCUAAGCGCGUGUGCAC
This 1077-nucleotide long non-coding RNA is filed under the name Triticum aestivum (bread wheat). RNAcentral's name for it is "long non-coding RNA (TAES_LNC012470)". Lineage: Eukaryota; Viridiplantae; Streptophyta; Magnoliopsida; Poales; Poaceae. The record is from RNAcentral.